CCUACGGGUGACAGCAGUGGGGAAUAUUGCACAAUGGGCGAAAGCCUGAUGCAGCAACGCCGCGUGAAGGAAGAAGGCCUUCGGGUCGUAAACUUCUGUCCUUGGGGAAGAAGAACUGACGGUACCCAAGGAGGAAGCCCCGGCUAACUACGUGCCAGCAGCCGCGGUAAUACGUAGGUGGCAAGCGUUGUCCGGAUUUACUGGGUGUAAAGGGCGUGUAGCCGGGUUGACAAGUCAGAUGUGAAAUCCUGCGGCUUAACCGCAGAACUGCAUUUGAAACUGUUGAUCUUGAGUACUGGAGAGGCAGAUGGAAUUCCUAGUGUAGCGGUGAAAUGCGUAGAUAUUAGGAGGAACACCAGUGGCGAAGGCGGUCUGCUGGACAGCAACUGACGGUGAGGCGCGAAAGCGUGGGGAGCAAACAGGAUUAGAUACCCUUGUAGUC
This 442-nucleotide ribosomal RNA is filed under the name uncultured bacterium. Its description in RNAcentral is "partial 16S ribosomal RNA". It matches the Rfam family "Bacterial small subunit ribosomal RNA", at positions 338 to 795 of the family's 1533-position model. The record is from RNAcentral.